Molecule: long non-coding RNA, 7734 nt
Filed under: Sus scrofa (pig)
Lineage: Eukaryota; Metazoa; Chordata; Mammalia; Artiodactyla; Suidae
Description: lncRNA (ENSSSCG00050003755.1)
Source: RNAcentral
UCCUAGACACAAGCAUCCUUGGACACUGGGGAUUUACAGGAUCGGCGGCUUCUGGGGAAGCUCAUAGGAGCCCACAUCAGUGGGCUGUUACCUGGGACCAGAGCUUCUCCUCAUGGCUGAAUCAGGUCCCGUGUUUUGCUAUGGACGUAGUCGUCUGUUACCUCGGAUGUGUGUGAACUAUUUGACCUGCUCUGGAUGCUGCUCACACCACAAUUCAUGUUGCCGUCACUCCCUCCAGGAGACAAGAUGCAAAGGAAUCGGUUUCACCGUGGGACACAGCCCAGGGCUCAGAGCUCCAUUGCCAUGGCAGAUAAAAAUCCAGAGAGGAAACAUCGGGGCUGUACCCGUGGACUCAAGGACUGAGCUCUGCCCUGCGGUGGGCACGCAGAUGGACAUAGCCUCGACGGGUGGACGUGGUUGUCGGCGCGUGACAUGGUACGUAUGCGACUUUUCCGUGAUUUUCAAGUAUUGCAGAAUAUAGUUCUUUUGGACUUCUGUUCCAACCGUUUAAAAAAUGUAUAAUUAUUCUUAGCUUAUGUACAAAAACAGACAGUUGGCAAGAUCUGAUCUAUAGGUCAAUGAUGGCCAUUAUCAAGUAUAGGUGACCUCACUUUGUCAGGCAAACAGAACCGAUACGAAAUCUAUCUAAUCUGCCUAGCUAUGUAGCUGUCUGUCUGUCUGCCUGCCUAUCAGUUGAUUGAUUUAUCAUUCCAGCUCUCGGUCUAUAUAUAUGUCUCUUUUUCUUUUUUUUCUUUUCUUUCUUUUUUUUUUUUUGCCGGCGGCUACGGCUCCAAUUAGAGCUGGGAACCUCCAUAUGCCACGGAACCUCCAUGUGCCACGAGUGUGGCCCUAAAAAGACAAAAAAAAAAAAAAAAAUCCAUGCACCCCUGUGUUCAUUGCAGCACUAUUCACAAUAGCCUGGGAACCUCCAUAUGCCAUGGGUGUGGCCCUAAAAAGACAAAAAAAAGGAAAAGAAAUGGAUGAUGGAGACAUGAUGAUGAAUAGAUGAUAAGUAGAUAGAUAGAGACAGAUGAUAUGCAGAUAAUGAAUAGAAUGACAGGUAGAUGAUAGACAAUAGAUGCUCACUUACUGGGUGGGCAGACAUGGCAGCAGAUGGAUAGCAGGCUCUGCUUCUGUAUCUCUCCGUCUCCUCUCCUUUCUCUUCCUCGGGAGAGCCCGGACAGCACCUGGCCCAGAGAACACGAGCCCCAGCAGAACCCGAGCCCCGCUCCCAUGUGGCUCAGGGCAGAGUUCAUUCCCAGGCGUGGUCCCCACGCUAGGACUGAACUCUUUCAGUAACUGCUGGCCCAGCGCCCAACCUCGGGGGCCACGUCUAGACAGGUCUGGUUUCCGGCGUCUGAGCCAAGCACGUGCUCGGGUGUUCUGGCGGCCCCCACCCUGGCCUGCGCAACGCUCUAAAUACCUGUGGUCUGUGAACCGGGAGUCAAGAUAAGUAGGAUGUUAUGGAAACGUCUAAGCUUCCGAUGCUGCAUGGGGUUUUCAGGCUGUGCCGUCGGGUCUCAGGUGGCGAAGAGUAUUGGGAGGGGUCAGCGCCUCUGGGCAACUCCUGUCCAUUCUUGUUAAGUUCUGUUUCACACCCCCGCUGAGAUGGGUUUGCAUCCCCUCAGGUCAUGCUGCCCCACAGGCAUCAUUUGUAGGGACCUGGGAAGCGUCGUCACCAGGCAGGGGUCCUGGCAGAUCCCGGCAGCCUCUGGGGGCCUGGCUCUGUCUGCAGUGUCAGGAGGCUGGGAAGUUGCUCCAAGCCAUUGUGGGAACCUCGGUGCCUCCAUCAAGCAGCAUGGCCAUCUGUGUUCCUCCGUGGCCAUGGCGUGGCUUCGUUUUUUUCGCCCAGCAAUUCGCGGGACGGACACACCCCUCAGGAAUCUGGUCCCUCCCUCUUCCCCGUGGGUAAUUCAGAAACGAGGAGUUCCCAUCAUGGUCCAGUGGUUACAAACCCGACCAGUAUCCAUGAGGACAUCGGUUCGAUCCCUGGCCCCUCUCAGAGGAAGAAGGAUCUGGCGUUGCUAUGGCUGUCGUGUACACCUGCAGCUGCAGCUCCAAUUCGACCCCAAGCCCGGGAACGUCUGUAUGCCGCAGGUGUAGCCCCAAAAAAGCAAACUAAAUUAACAAAUGAAAAAGGAUCCUUGUCGUUGACUUAGCAUUCAGGAAAAAGAAGGUUAUCUGUGUGCCUGUUUAGAGCAAUACCUCCAAGCCUUUCAGGAUACCCCAGAGGGACGUUUCUUUCCCCAGAGUCAGCCCCUCUCCCUGGCUCCCAUCCACCAGCCAUCGCGUCUCUUCUUCUAUUUCCAAACACUCAUAUAUGCCAGGUGGGCCAAGUGGGUGGACACGCCUGGGUACCCCUCUCUGUACAUUCCUCAGGCUCUGACUUCACUCCGCAGCCCUUUCCUAAGGAAAGGCUGGCCUCUCCAAAAAUCACACAGGCGCGAGGACUCAUCCCCGUUACCGUUUGGAAAACGGUCUGUGGGUGUUGGGACGUGCUCUGCCGGUGCUCAGCUCGCAAAAAUCCCACCGUCUGUUCCAGGAUCCUGUCCUGGACUCGCCCCGCUGGCGGAGGUGCCUUCUCUGAGUCUCCCGGCUACGGGGCCAGCGGCCGCCCCCAGUGAAAUGAACUGAUGUCUGUGGACUCGGGCCAGGCCAGUGAGGCACGAGGAAGGCUGCAACUAUUUGCAGAGAACGUGCCCUGUGCAGCUCCCUAAAUAGCUGGGGUUGGGAAGAGCCGGAAGCUGGGGUCCGUGAUGGCCAGCAUGAGGCGUCAAGGAGGUUGCUGUCCCCAGGCGUCCCUGGUGGUCCCAGAAUUCUUCACAAAGACAGUGAUGCCUGGGGCCAGGUUCAGCUGGUGGCGGGACCCCGCAGGGAGGGGUCCACGUGGGAGACAUCUCCUUGCGACUCACGCCCCCAGGUGUGUCUGGUCGCAGCUGGAUCAUGACACGCCAACGUGGAAGUCCUUGACGGUGAGAACCUGGAGCCAUCGUCGCCGGGUGAGACGGAAGGGACACCGCCAUGCUUUGCGCGCAGCAGUUUCAAGGCGCAGAAGGCAAACGGGAUGCCCACGUGAAACUAUGCUGCAGCAGUGCCCGCAAAUGUGCCCGGGCUCGCACAGGAUUCCGACGUGGCAAGUCCCAGGUGCGGCUGGAGCCCGUCCAUUUGUGCCUGGCGCCCAGGUGAUCCUGCUGGUGGUGGGAGCGCCUCUAGAGAUGUGUUCUAGUGGCCUGGCGUCAUAGCCACUAGCCAUCCAUGGCUAACUAAAUGGCAUAAAAUAAAGGCAAAUCUAAAACCUUACUUCUUUGGUCCUAUGAGCUACAUUUCAAGUGCCAGGCAGCUGCCAUAUGGAUAGUACAGCAGAGAACAUUCUUCUGUCAUUGCAGAAAGUUCUACCAAACUGUGCUAGGGUAGGGCGUUCCUGCUAUGGCUCAGGGGGUUAGGAAACUGACUAGUACCCAUGAGGAUGUGGGUUCAAUCCCUGGCCUCACUCAGUGGGUCAGGGAUCUAGCAUUGUCAUAAGCUAGACAUGUGUUGGUCGCAGACACUUCUCAGAGUCAGCAUUGCUGUGGCUGUGAAGUAGACCAGCAGCUGCAGCUCCGAUUCCACCCUUAGCCUGGGAACUUCCAUUUGCCGCAGGUGCAGCCCCUAAAAAAGCAAAACAAACAAACAAAAAAAAAACUGUGUUCGUCUAGAGGCUGGCUGUCACGUAGGAACGUCUAGUUACCACGGGGUUAAUAGGUUUUAAUGUUUGGAGUGUUUUUUAUCAUAAGAUGCUAAGGGGCGUGGUACCUCCAUAAGAUUCUGAACACUGGUGUAAUCCCUUUUAUAAUCAGGGCACACAUACACCCUCCCUCAGAAUGCGAGGCUCCCUCGAUGAUCAAAAAGCCAGGCUUUCAUUUCCCUAUGAAAGCCUGAAACAUCCCCCCAGUUGCCAUAUUUCCGGAUAGGUUCGUGUGUGCGCACUCGCAGGCUCUAAUACAGGAGAGCUGUACACAUCGACAGCUGCCGGGAUACCCCGUCUGCCUCCUCUCAUGUUUUCUUAGCCUUAUUUUCCAUUCUCUAGAGGAGCCAGAGACAUGCAGAAUGAGGUUUCUCCUGAGCAGGAAGCGUGCCCGUGAGCAACCAGCUGAGAAGUCGACCCAUCACGUGUGAAAAUGAGAAAGUCCCGUCGAGGCCAGACCCCGCUGUCCUUGGAAAGGUGCGCAAUUGAUCCAGUUCAGACGUCGGGGGCUGUCUUGGUGUUGAGUUGAUUUCUUCCAAGGGGUGAGGGAGCGAUCCAGGUUCCCUGCCCAGCGGGUGCUCUGCCUCCCUAGUUCCGGAGGCUGGACUUUCAAGACCUGCUGAGAGCCAUCUUCCUGGUUCAUCAAUGGACGUUCUCUCCAUCAGGACAGAGACAAGACAGUUCCUUCUUACCCGUGAGAGAUACAUGUAUUGUCCAUGACUCCGCAGGAAAUUGAUUUCCCCAACCCGAUGCAGAGAUGGGGAAGGGGGGAGCCAAAAGAAGGGUUUGCUGUCCAUCUUUGGCGCCAGAGGAGAAGUCAGCCCCCAGAAGCUAAGCACUGAGAAGUCCAGUCUUCCACAUCCAGGGGUUUCCAGAUUCCCACUCGUGUAAGAAAUGCAGCGUGAUGUCCCAGUUUUCGUGCUUUUCUUGAGAUGUGGUCCCCUUGGAGGAGCUUCCCCCGCCAGGAUGGAAUUUCAGAGCUUUCGGCUCGAGAAGAAGGGAAAUGCCCCGAACAGCCACCCCCCAGGCCCCUUGUGGCCGCUGAGAAGUUGGGGAGGAUGCAGCCAUAAAGGAGGAUGUGAAAAGUAGGCGCGAUCGCAAGGCACGAAUCUCGGAAUCUUCGUGUUUCAUCGGGAAGGCAGAGGAGGAAGGAAUCUGCGAGGUGCAGCCGCCUCUUCUGACCUCAGGAUGGACGGAGAGGGCGUGAAGGACCCGUCAGUGACCAGCUGUUGCACAGAGAGCCCAGGGGAAGGGGGUGCCCUGGCGGGCACAUGGGAACCAAUGCUGCGGCUCACGAGAAGUUGGAGGAACAAACUGCUUUGUCCCAGGAGAAGAGGAGCAGGAUGGAACAGAUGCCCGCUGUAAUCGUGGGCGGAACCGGAGGGACGGACGCAACGCUUGGCGCUUCCGAUUCUGACAGUUGCUGACCUCGCGGGAGAUGGAUGCAGGAGGGUCCAGAUGUUCCGAUGAGGAAACGGAGGCCACUAAGUGUUGUGUAACGUCCCAAGAGGCCCCAGCUCUGAAGCGGUGGAGUCAGAAUGGGUUGCUUAACAGCCACCCCCACCCUGGGCUCGGAAGACGUCCACACCCAGGUAUGAAAAUGCCCUGUGGGAGUGUCUGUUGCUGCUCAGUGGGUUAAGAACCCAACAUAGCGUCCGUCCAAGGGAUGCGGGUUUGAUCCCUGGCCUCGCUCGGCGAGUUAAGGAUCUGGUGUUGCCACAGGCUGUGGUGUAGGUCACAGGUGCGGCUCGGAGCCUAUGUUUCGGUGGCUGUGGUGUAGACUGGCAGCUGCAGCACUGAUUCGACCCCUAGCUCAGGAACUUCCAUGUGCUGCGGGGGCGGCCCUGAAAAGAAAAUAAAAAAGAAAGAAAGCAAAUGCCCUGUGGAAUGACCACAUGAUAGUGACACAGUCUCGUGGCCUUUCUCUUGGGAACAGGCACACCUCCUUCCGAGCCACCUAAGUUCCUGCCUCUUGACUUUCUAGACACCCUUCACUGUUUAAAGGGGGGAGAACAAUAAGAAGACAAAGCAAAUGCUCCUUUUUUGGGUCCUUUUUAAAACAUUUAUUGACAUAGAGCUGAUAUAUCAGCUUGUGAUCAUCUCUGCGAUACAACAAACUCACGAGCUCCUGUUAUUUGUAGACUUUUUGAUGAUGGCCAUUCUGACUGGUGCAAGGUGGUCCCUCAGUGUAACUUUGAUUCGCAUUUCUCUAAUAAUAAGCGAUGGGGAGCAUCCUUUCAUAUGCUUGUUCUUUGGAGAAACGUCUGUUCAGGUCUUCUGCCCAUCUUUUGAUUGGGUUGUUUGGCUUUUUUGAUAUCAAGCUUCACGGGUUGUUUGUGCCUUUUGGAGAUUAGUCCCUUGUGUGUCACUUCAUUUGCAAAUGUUUUCAGCCAUUUCGUGAGUGGCCUUUUUGUUUCGUUUGAUUUCCUUGGCUGUGCAAAUGUGUUUAAGUUUAUGUAGGUCCCAUGUGUUUCUGUUUUUAUUUUCAUUACUCUAAGCAGUGGAUCCAAAAAGAAAUUGCUGCAGAUUAUGUCAAAGAAUGUUCUGCCUCUGUUCUCCUCCAGGAGUUUAAUCAUAUCUGGUCUUACAUUUAGGUCUUUAAUCCAUUUUGAGUUUAUUUUCCUGUAUGAUAUUAGAGAAAGCUGGGAGUUCCUGUCGGGGUUCAGUGGAACUGAAUCCAACUAGGAACCGUGAGGUUGCAGAUUCAAUCCCUGGCCUCGCUCAGUGGGUUAAGGAUCUGGUGUGGCCGUGAGCUGUGGUGUAGGUCGCAGACAUGGCUUGGAUCUGGCAUUGCUGUGACUCUGGCAUAGGAGGGCAGCUAUACCUCCAAUUAGACCCAUAGCCUGGGAACCUCCAUGUGCUGCGGUGCGGUCCUAAAAAGACGGAAAGACAGAGAAUGCUAUCAUUUCAUUCUUUUGCAUGGAGCUGUCCAGUUUUCCCAGCACCACUUAUUGAAGAGCCUGUCUUUUCUCCAUUGUAUAUUCUUGCCUCCUUUGUCAUAAAUUAAUUGUCCGUAGGUGUGCGGGUUUAUCCUGUUCCAUUAAUCCACAUUUCUGAUUUGCGUCAGUGCCAUACUGUUUUGAUGACUCUAGUUCUGUGAUAUAAUCUGAUGUCAGGGAGCCUGAUUCCCCCGGUUCUGUUUCUUUUUCAGGAUGGCUUUGGCUGUUUGGGCUCUUAUGUGUUUCCAUAUAAAUUUAAAAAUAUUUUGUUCUAGUUCUGUUAAAAAAUGUCAAGGCAAUCUACAGUCUCAAUUCAUUAGUUUCUUAGAUCCGAGGCACAGGUCCAUAAAUGCCUAACAACAGAGACAGACCAGCAAAAUGUUCAUGCAGUUUAGAUUCUGAGAACUUGACUUGUGUUUUUAUUCUAGGUUUUGAUUCAUAUUUUUUCAAAAAAUCAGAGUUUAGAAUUUGUGACAAGUUGGCAGAGUUCUGUUGUGGCUCAGUGUGUUACGAAUCUGACUAGUAUCCCUGAGGACACAGGUUCAAUCCCUGGCCUUGCUCAGUGGGUCAAGGAUCCUGCAUUGCCAUGAUCUGUGGUGUAGGUCACAGAUGCUGUCUGGAUCUGGCAUUGCUGUGGUUAGUAUAGGCUGGCAGCUGCAGUUCUGAUUCAGCCUAGGAACGUCCAUGUGCUGAGGGUGCAGCCCUAGGGGGAAAAAAAAAAAGAAUUUGGGACAGGUUGGGAUGGGUCAUGAAGGAAAAGACCCCACAAUCUAUAUCCAGCACACAGCAGGGUUUCCAUGCAGAAGACAGUGUUGUCAGCACAGAGAUUCAGUUAAAAAAUGGAGGUUUUGAGAAACUCUCUCUCUGCUCACUCAGGAGUGUUAUCCUGAGACAGAUCCCAAAGAUGAAAAUAAAGCAGCUCAUUCUGAGCAACAAAGGCCACGUGAAAAUGAAAACGAGUUCCCUGGUGGCUCAGCUGGUUAAGAACCCAGUGUUGUCACUGCUGUGGCUCGAGUUCGAUCCCUGGCCCAGGAACUUCUGCAUGCCAUAGGUGUGGCCAAAAGGAAAAAA